AGUUCGGAUUGGAGUCUGCAACUCGACUCCAUGAAGCUGGAUUCGCUAGUAAUCGCGCAUCAGCCAUGGCGCGGUGAAUACGUUCCCGGGCCUUGUACACACCGCCCGUCAAGCCAUGGGAGUCGGGGAGUGCCUGAAGUUCGUGACCGUCACAGGAGCGACCUAAGGCAAGACCGAUGACUGGGGCUAAGUCGUAACAAGGUAAC
This 206-nucleotide ribosomal RNA is filed under the name uncultured bacterium. Its description in RNAcentral is "partial 16S ribosomal RNA". It matches the Rfam family "Bacterial small subunit ribosomal RNA", at positions 1290 to 1500 of the family's 1533-position model. The record is from RNAcentral.